This 351-nucleotide ribosomal RNA is filed under the name uncultured eukaryote. RNAcentral's name for it is "SSU rRNA". It matches the Rfam family "Eukaryotic small subunit ribosomal RNA", at positions 592 to 1018 of the family's 1831-position model. The record is from RNAcentral.
CAAUAGCGUAUAUUAAAGUUGUUGCAGUUAAAAAGCUCGUAGUUGGAUUUCAAGGUGAAAGAGGGAUUACCCUCUGAAACUUAUCAGUCCGAAAGGACUGUUACUGUGAGAAAAUUAGAGUGUUUCAAGCAGGCUAUUGCAGGAAUACAUUAGCAUGGAAUAACGAGUGUGUCUAGAAUCUUGGUUAAUUCUAGAUUACGAUUAAUAGGGACAGUUGGGGGCAUUAGUAUUUAAUUGUCAGAGGUGAAAUUCUUGGAUUUAUUAAAGACUAACAUAUGCGAAAGCAUUUGCCAAGGAUGUUUUCAUUAAUCAAGAACGAAAGAUUGGGGAUCAAAGACGAUUAGAUACCGU